This is a long non-coding RNA of Oncorhynchus nerka (sockeye salmon), 1133 nucleotides long. RefSeq lists it as uncharacterized. The transcript has 3 exons. NCBI's taxonomy places the organism in Eukaryota, Metazoa, Chordata, Actinopteri, Salmoniformes, Salmonidae. The record is from RefSeq and is a predicted model, not a curated record.
CAGUGUGGGUUUCACACCUAGAUACCCAAUUAGCAAUUAAGCCUGCCUUUGAGUGCAGGCCUAGACUGUGGUGUGUGAUCCUGCCCUGAUUUGCAUGCAGUUCGUUUGUGCACAGGCUGAUAAGCGCAGGCAGCUGUACAUAGUUUUAAAAUUCAACUCCAGAAUCCCUCUCGCAGAAGGCAGAGGGGCCCGCGGGGCGAACAGAGAGGGAGAAAUCACACGGCUGCUCUUCAAAAGGGAAACCUGUGUACAGCAGCCGGCAAAGUGCGUGGGAUCAUACUCAGAAUGCAGGUUGACUACUCCUCCUUUCAAACAGCAGAAGAACACUUCAACUCUUACAGUACACAUCUAAACAGCACAGACCAGGACACCCAGGUGACAGAGAGGGGGAAAGAAAGUGAUGGAGAGAAAGAGGGAGAGAAGAAGAGUGUGUCGCAUUCCUUCCUGUUCCUGUACCACCCUCCAACCCCAGAGCUGCAGACUCAAGGCGGUUUCCAGAAUCAAACAAUUUCACGCAGCUACUGGAGGAGGAAAUGAACUGAGCCCAGAGCAAUAAUACAAUUAUACAAAUGUUAUUACAGACUCGCCUGCUACUGUCCUACUUUAAUUCAAAUUUGGGAACUCCAGGCAGCGCUGGUGGCAGAGACCUUCCUGAAUAAAUCAACAUUAGCUUACUUCUAAAUUAUUAAGGAAGUGGGAGACUUUCUUGUUUAUAGUAUGAAUUAUGAAACAAGUGUUUUACGCUGUUUUUCUUCAUGAAUCCCCAAAUAUUAAUUGCUAAUGAUCUUUAAGGUGUGUGUUUUAUCUCUGUGCCCCCCUAAGUUGUAUCGGCUGCUGAGAGGCAUUUUGCAUCAGAAGCUUUAAGUUUUGAAGAUUCUACAUACAGUAAAUGUGAGGAAUGUUAGAUUAGGAAAUUAAUUAAAGAUAAUGCCUUUCCUUUUUGUAUAAUAUGCAUGAUGUGCUUUAUUGGUUCUGUAUAGCACAAAUAAACCUCUUUCAGUUUGGUGUACUGUAGGACAAAUAUGUUUUGGUGCAUUUUCAAUUUGUUAAAUUUUUCAGCCGUUGUUGAAUGUUAUUUAACAAUGCCUAUCAGCCUUAUAAACAAAUAAUGUUGAUAAAAGCCUUGUCCAGGC